ACUGCCUCUAUAGGCAUUGCAGUUGUGGCUGCUGUGUCACAUGUGCAUCAGUAGGUGGCAGAGAGGAGAGAGGCUAUGUCUAUGCUUAGUGUUCUGACCUGUGAACAUCUCAAUGAUUGUUAGCCUAACAUU
Molecule: small nucleolar RNA, 132 nt
Organism: Grammomys surdaster
Lineage: Eukaryota; Metazoa; Chordata; Mammalia; Rodentia; Muridae
Product: small nucleolar RNA SNORA17
Exons: 1
Source: RefSeq, a predicted model, not a curated record